CCUACGGGGAGCAGCAGUGGGGAAUAUUGGACAAUGGGCGAAAGCCUGAUCCAGCCAUGCCGCGUGUGUGAAGAAGGCCUUCGGGUUGUAAAGCACUUUCAGUGGGGAAGAAAGCCUUGGGGCUAAUACCCUCGAGGAAGGACAUCACCCACAGAAGAAGCACCGGCUAACUCCGUGCCAGCAGCCGCGGUAAUACGGAGGGGUGCGAGCGUUAAUCGGAAUUACUGGGCGUAAAGCGCGCGUAGGCGGUCUGAUAAGCCGGUUGUGAAAGCCCCGGGCUCAACCUGGGAACGGCAUCCGGAACUGUCAGGCUAGAGUGCAGGAGAGGAAGGUAGAAUUCCCGGUGUAGCGGUGAAAUGCGUAGAGAUCGGGAGGAAUACCAGUGGCGAAGGCGGCCUUCUGGACUGACACUGACGCUGAGGUGCGAAAGCGUGGGUAGCAAACAGGAUUAGAUACCCCUGUAGUC
This 466-nucleotide ribosomal RNA is filed under the name Vreelandella stevensii. RNAcentral describes it as "partial 16S ribosomal RNA". It matches the Rfam family "Bacterial small subunit ribosomal RNA", at positions 338 to 795 of the family's 1533-position model. The record is from RNAcentral. Lineage: Bacteria; Pseudomonadati; Pseudomonadota; Gammaproteobacteria; Oceanospirillales; Halomonadaceae.